RNAcentral lists this microRNA (16 nucleotides) under Corchorus capsularis. RNAcentral describes it as "sRNA CCACVL1_16647". Lineage: Eukaryota; Viridiplantae; Streptophyta; Magnoliopsida; Malvales; Malvaceae. The record is from RNAcentral.
AAACCCUCCAAUUUCU